Molecule: long non-coding RNA, 642 nt
Filed under: Olea europaea subsp. europaea
Lineage: Eukaryota; Viridiplantae; Streptophyta; Magnoliopsida; Lamiales; Oleaceae
Source: RNAcentral
CCUUCAACCCUACCCAUAAAUCAAAACCAGAACAUUCACAUCCGCCGACUGGUCAACCGGCCAUAGCCACUUAUCUCACUGUAAAUCGCCACACCAUAAAUUACCACUGCCGCCGCCACCACCAAAUCAAAACCAUCACCAUCAUCAUCAAAUCCAGCUUUUCUAUUGUGGAAAAUUACAGCAAUUCCCGCAACGACCUAAUCUAAGAAAAACCAUUGGCCACCAAUCCGUCAGAAUUUCUUCCCUAGCCGAGGGGCUCAAUCCACAUACACAUCCCAUACAAAAAGAUCAAGAUGGAAUUGAAAAGCCAAAUGAGUCGCACGCAUGGUCACGCCUCACUGUCGGUAGUCUUGCCCACUCAAGGCAAGCAUAUUCAUGGUAGAACACCAUCAAAUCAAAAGAUCAAAAUGGGUUGGAUUAUUAGGACUUCAAAAUUUUUAAUGAAAGGUUAUGUUGUUAGGGAAUUCAAUGGAUGGUUAGGAGAUGGAAAUCGAUCAAGGUUUGAUGAUGGGAUGAUAGAGGAAGGUGACGGUAGUCUAACAAAGAAGGAGACGACGGUGAAAAUUUGGGGAGGAAUGUUUGAUGAUUGGAUUAUUGUUUGUUUUGAGGGAAGAAGAUGAAAAUGGGGCGGGUGGGGCAGAU